AUUGAACGCUGGCGGCAUGCCUUACACAUGCAAGUCGAACGGCAGCACGGGUGCUUGCACCUGGUGGCGAGUGGCGAACGGGUGAGUAAUACAUCGGAACGUACCUUAUCGUGGGGGAUAACGCAGCGAAAGCUGUGCUAAUACCGCAUACGCCCUGAGGGGGAAAGCGGGGGAUCGCAAGACCUCGCGCGAUUAGAGCGGCCGAUGCCUGAUUAACUUGUUGGUGGGGUAAAAGCCCACCAAGGCGACGAUCAGUAGCUGGUCUGAGAGGACGAUCAGCCACACUGGGACUGAGACACGGCCCAGACUCCUACGGGAGGCAGCAGUGGGGAAUUUUGGACAAUGGGGCAACCCUGAUCCAGCAAUGCCGCGUGAGUGAAGAAGGCCUUCGGGUUGUAAAGCUCUUUUGUCAGGGAAGAAACACCGGCUCUAACACAGUCUGGGAAUGACGGUACCUGAAGAAUAAGCACCGGCUAACUACGUGCCAGCCGCCGCGGUAA
This 500-nucleotide ribosomal RNA is filed under the name uncultured bacterium. Its description in RNAcentral is "partial 16S ribosomal RNA". It matches the Rfam family "Bacterial small subunit ribosomal RNA", at positions 30 to 523 of the family's 1533-position model. The record is from RNAcentral.